UCGUAAUAUAUGAAGUCUUUCUUGAGAACACUCCGGGCACUUGGCUGUGGAAGGUAGAAUGGAAAUUGCAACAACAAAAUCCUAACUCUAAUGGUAUACUAACUAAACUCUAAUUAGACCAUAACAAUGCUAAACAAGAUUUAAUCAAAUUUAAAGAAACCUCCAAGGAAUUACAAAGAAAUAAUAAGAAAUCUUAAAGAAAUAUUAAAAUGAUCACAAAUAUAUCUCAAAUACAUCUUAAUUCAAUCUUAAUUUAAUCCUAGUUAAAAUCCUAUUGAACUUCAUUCAAACUUUAGGCCAAAAACUAACUAAAUCUUAAAUCCUAAACAAACUCAAAUAAAAUCUUAAAUCCUAAAUCCUAAAUCAAAUCCUAACUAAUCCUAAACUAAAUCCUAAACCCUAAAUUCUAAACCAAAUCCUAAUCUUAAAUCAAAUCCUAACCAAUCCUAAACCAAAUUCCAAACCUUAAACCAAAUCCUAACCAAAUCCUAACCCUAAAUCAAACCCCAACAAAAUUCUAAAUCCUAAACCAAAUCCUAACCAAAUCCUAAUCCUAAAUCAAAUCCUAAUUAAAUUUUAAAUCCUAAACCAAAUCCUAAUCCUAAAUCAAGCCCUAAUCAAAUCCUAAAUCCUAAAUCAAAGCCUAAUUCUAAAUCAAACCCUAACCAAAUCCUAAUCCUAAAUCAAAUCCUAUCCAAAUCCUAA
This 705-nucleotide long non-coding RNA is filed under the name Physcomitrium patens. Its description in RNAcentral is "long non-coding RNA (PPAT_LNC002702)". The record is from RNAcentral. Lineage: Eukaryota; Viridiplantae; Streptophyta; Bryopsida; Funariales; Funariaceae.